AUGGCACUGGCUGCAGCUAGGGGGAGCUCCAGAGCACAGCUCCUCUUCUAGCCAGCCGAGGGAAGCUCUCUGCUCCGUCAGCCUGAUGAUGAAAGCCAAAGACAGAUGAAUCCCACCCUGCCCGUUUUUGUGCGCCCUACCAACCCGCCGUUUUCUGCCUGCCGUACCCCGCCACGCCGCCAGACCCAGCCGUGCGCCGCCGGACCCGGUGCUGCUCCUGCAUAGGGAGGAGGAAGAUUGCUCUUCAAUCUUUGAAUGCAAAAUGAAACAAAUUAGCUUGUAAAGUACUACGGAACCAGUGUGCCUAAUUUCAGCUAUUUUCUCCUGCAUUAAACUCAUCAAGAUGAUGCCUGCAACAGUCCAAAGUACCUGUCCAGAAGCGGCAUCCCUGUAUUAUUGUUCAUAUUGAAUAUGAUUGCUUAUAUUUUUUUUUCUUUCUCUUAUUUAAAUUCUAUAUGAAAAUGCCAUUUGUCAUCAUUAAUUUGAUGGUGAUGACUGCCAUCUCGAAUGUGCGGUGUUCAGUAUACACUUUAAAUGGCCUUAUCUUCAUUUAGAGGUAGUUAGCUCACA
Molecule: long non-coding RNA, 570 nt
Organism: Pseudophryne corroboree (corroboree frog)
Lineage: Eukaryota; Metazoa; Chordata; Amphibia; Anura; Myobatrachidae
Exons: 3
Source: RefSeq, a predicted model, not a curated record